CAGCUACACACCGUCCUCUCCACCGGAUCCACCGGUCCGCAGGUCCGCAGCCAGCCUGUCUGUCUGCCUGCCCCACCUGUCACCUUGCUUGCCUUGCCUUCAGUGCCUUCAGUGCCUUCAGUGCCUUCCCGGCUUUCUCCACGGCACGCCCAGCCGCCACCGUUCUCGCCGCCGUUCUCCGCGGCACGCCCAGCUGCGCCGGUGUGCGUCCCCAGGAACGCCGGUUCCCUGAGCCGGCCAGCUCCCCUCUCCCUCAGUUAGUUCCUAGCUCUCCCCCAGCCCCCUGUGACAGAUAGAACCCUGAGGGAUACCAAGAACAUCAACAGUUGCCUUCUCUGACUGAGAUGCUUUGUCUCUCAGGUAGGAGAUGAACAAAUCUUCAGGUUAACAAAACACACAUGGAAAGACGAAGGGCUCAGCAAUGUUGAUGAGCAUUAUGGGAGACAGUAUCACGUUGUUGGACACGUCCAUCCACAGC
Molecule: long non-coding RNA, 478 nt
Organism: Amphiprion ocellaris (clown anemonefish)
Lineage: Eukaryota; Metazoa; Chordata; Actinopteri; Pomacentridae
Source: Ensembl